AGCGAACGCUGGCGGCAGGCCUAACACAUGCAAGUCGAGCGCUCGUAGCAAUACGAGAGCGGCAGACGGGAGAGUAACACGUGGGAACGUACCCUUUGGUUCGGAACAACCCAGGGAAACUUGGGCUAAUACCGGAUAAGCCCUUACGGGGAAAGAUUUAUCGCCGAAGGAUCGGCCCGCGUCUGAUUAGCUAGUUGGUGGGGUAACGGCCCACCAAGGCGACGAUCAGUAGCUGGUCUGAGAGGAUGAUCAGCCUCACUGGGACUGAGACACGGCCCAGACUCCUACGGGAGGCAGCAGUGGGGGAUAUUGGACAAUGGGCGCAAGCCUGAUCCAGCCAUGCCGCGUGGGUGAUGAAGGCCCUAGGGUUGUAAAGCCCUUUCGGCGGGGAAGAUAAUGACGGUACCCGCAGAAGAAGCCCCGGCUAACUUCGUGACAGCCGCCGCC
Molecule: ribosomal RNA, 447 nt
Filed under: uncultured bacterium
Lineage: Bacteria
Description: bacterial SSU rRNA
Rfam family: Bacterial small subunit ribosomal RNA
Source: RNAcentral